CGUUCACUGCGAUGCUGCUUUGUGCACAAUGUAUGCAUUUUCAGGUUAAGAAGAGGACAGUGUCCAGUAUUAUUUUUUUCACAUGAAAGCUAGCAUUGAAUAAGAAAAGAUUGAUUGAGACAUAGGUCUGGCACAUUUUAUCACACGCUUGCAUGUAACAUGACAGCUACAUCAGAAAUUGAGGAAAACUGCCGUGAGUGAAGAAGUGAAAUGUGGAAGAUGUGGAUGUAAAAAAUCUUCCGGGCACACACACAAAGAGCAUGAACUUCAAAGAAAUCUGCACUCAAAGAGGCAUCAGGAUUCCGAUACAUGCUGUAUACACAGAGGCACUUACGGACUUAAAUGUGCAGGUCAUGUGAAGAAGUUUAAGAGGGGACAGACCAUGUGCACAGUUAAGAAUACAGAACCAUGCAAACUUAACUGUAUUUUGACUGGACAUCCUUUCUUUAGUUUGUACUGAAAUAAAGCUAGUGUACGUGCCAGCACAUGAUCACUGAUAUGUUUUGAGGUAAAAUUUAUUCACCAUAGGGGGCGACGCCGUACAUGACGGGUCGACACAGUAUAGUACUAUGUACUACGUAAAGUCACUCUCACAAUCUGCUCCUGGGUUCAAAUUCACGUCGUUUAAUAACCUUCUUUAAUCUGUCAUUGAUGGCAAUUAAGUCGAUCCAGUUUUUCAUGUGGUCUCUAGGAUUCUCCCAAGCAUAUAACCUUUUUUUUUCCAUUUAGUCCUACGUUCAUGGUCACCACUGAGAAUAAUGUAUAUCAAUAUUGUUUCAUUUGCUGGAAGGUAAUUGUCAAGGGGAAAAUGUCCAAAACUACCA
This 824-nucleotide long non-coding RNA is filed under the name Lingula anatina. Its description in RNAcentral is "uncharacterized LOC106176120". Lineage: Eukaryota; Metazoa; Brachiopoda; Lingulata; Lingulida; Lingulidae. The record is from RNAcentral.